This 1891-nucleotide long non-coding RNA is filed under the name Homo sapiens (human). RNAcentral's name for it is "HSALNT0401137". Lineage: Eukaryota; Metazoa; Chordata; Mammalia; Primates; Hominidae. The record is from RNAcentral.
CUUCCAGGUGACCUUCGUUUGGAGAUUGGGUGUGCUCCAGCCCCCAGAAUCUCCUUCUCCCCUUCGUGAAACAGAGCUGGGAUGAUGGCAGAGGACUCCAGAACGCACUGAGAUUGUUCCUUGGCGUGACAAAUGGCAAAGGACUCUAGAACGCACAGAGAUUGUUCCUUGGUGUGACGGGCCAGACAGCACACCUUUCUUCAAGCCAUUCUCACAUCAAAUAAAACGUUGAUAAAUCAUUGUUUCUCUAAGCUUGAAAAAUGCUACUAACUCAAGACAAGGUGAAAGUGAGUUUGUUGAAAUCAACGUGAAGGAUCGAGGGUACCAACUUGGAAUGUAAAACCAUAGAAAAUACCAUCUGGGAACACGGAAAUCAUCUGUCUUAUCUGGAAGCCUGUCUCCAGAGUGGCAAACUUAGGGACUGGUUUGAGGACAGAGUGUGCCCUGUGUGCUGGGGAGGGGUGUAAAGGACUGGGAUGGAGGAGGGGGGGCUCCAGAUGUUCUUUUACCCAUAAAUACACUGUACAUCACCGUCUGCCACUGAAGCUUAAGGAUUGAAAACCUUGGGGAUGUUUCACUGGUUUUGCUUCCGCCUCUGCAAUGUUUGAACUUGCAUUUUCUGAGCCACGUAUGCAACUAAAAGCCUUACAUGCAUUACCCACCCUUCACCUCUCUUACUAGUCCUAUUUACAGGUGAGAAAACUGAGGCACAAGGAGUUUUGCUGAUUCGGGAUUGUUACGGGUUUUAGGUUUUGUUUUCCUCCUGACAGCUCCUGGACUUUUUAAAAUUCCUGUAAUUGUGUCUCCCAAUCAUGGGCCAGGAAUAUGAGAAUCAGCUGUGAACUUCGAGCCUGUCCAUCUCAAAACUCUUCAUCUCCAAGACAUUUCAAUAGAGCUUUGCCAGUAAACAAAAAUAAAUACGGUUCGGUUUACCCAGAGGCCAAAUCCCUUGUAAUAAGUUCUGGGCCAGUUUCUUCCCAGAGCGGGAGAAUAUACAGUUGUAGUUUGAGUUGAUUUUAUUUCUUUGAGGCUUUGUUUUUCUAGUCUUUCAGGCCUUAACCUCACUCCCUCAGGAACAGCUGAAAUAUGAGAAGAGAUCAUAUGGCCCCCAAAAAGUCCCCAGAUUAACCAAGAUUGAUGCCACCCAGGGCCCAGUUGGGGUCAACACCCUGUGUCAGGUGCGCUCUCUGUAUAAUUCCUGUUUCCUGUGAGAAGAGCAUUAAAGGCCCGUUAAUGUUUUAAAAUGAAAUGCAACCUCUUAAUAAUCAGGUUUCUCCACUCUGCUAGGAUUCCAAAAAAAAAAAUCAGCAACUGACAAAUGUUAAAAAUUUCCUCGCUGCUAAUCAUGCUUUCCCCCGCUUCCCUUUCUUUCCCCCUCUCUUCUAACAUGAAUUUAUUUUCUAUUUGAAAGCCAAUCUCACUGGUUAUUAGAUAUUCUCCCUGCUGUCACUAUCAGUAAAUUAUUAAACAGCUGACCAAGCUUUGUUUUAAAAUGAUUCUCUUAUGAAGCUCAGUGAUAUAUUUGCUAUGAAUACUGAAUGGUGCCGCGGUCUCUAAGGUCACGUGAAUGAUUCCUAUUUACUACCUUUAGCAAAAUGUGUGUGCAAUUAGCGGCAAGAACUUGACUUGAAUCACAGUUACUAGGGAUGCCUGUAGCUCAUUUACAUGGAGCUCCCUUUACUCAUUACACUCCUGCCCAGGAGAAGCGUGUUAAGAUUCUAGGCCAGGUCACGAAAUAGCAUAUAGACUUGUCUUUUGUCAUUCCUCACCUCCUUUCUUGUCUUGCCACUGCUGAGCCUUGACAUACCUGUGGGAAUCCUUUGUUUCAUGGAGCAGCGGGUUCUAAGUGAAUUUUUGCUUAAAGAAAAUAAACGUGAUUGAGAGAAAAUUA